CAAAAUGUAGCUUACACAAAGCACCUGGCUUACACCCAGGAGAUAUUACACUAGUAAUCAUUUUGAA
This 67-nucleotide transfer RNA is filed under the name Cormura brevirostris (chestnut sac-winged bat). Its description in RNAcentral is "tRNA-Val". Lineage: Eukaryota; Metazoa; Chordata; Mammalia; Chiroptera; Emballonuridae. The record is from RNAcentral.